This 253-nucleotide ribosomal RNA is filed under the name uncultured bacterium. Its description in RNAcentral is "partial 16S ribosomal RNA". It matches the Rfam family "Bacterial small subunit ribosomal RNA", at positions 524 to 776 of the family's 1533-position model. The record is from RNAcentral.
UACAGAGGGGGCAAGCGUUGUUCGGAAUUACUGGGCGUAAAGGGCGCGUAGGCGGCCUUCUAAGUCGAACGUGAAAUCCCUCGGCUCAACUGAGGAACUGCACGGGAAACUGCCUGGCUUGAGUUCGGGAGAGGGAAGCGGAAUUCCGGGUGUAGCGGUGAAAUGCGUAGAUAUCCGGAGGAACACCGGUGGCGAAGGCGGCUUCCUGGACCGACACUGACGCUGAGGCGCGAAAGCUAGGGGAGCAAACGGG